Molecule: long non-coding RNA, 730 nt
Filed under: Sus scrofa (pig)
Lineage: Eukaryota; Metazoa; Chordata; Mammalia; Artiodactyla; Suidae
Description: lncRNA (ENSSSCG00060037512.1)
Source: RNAcentral
GGCAAGCACGACGCGGGAGGGGACACGAGCGCGCGGGGAGAGCGCGGCCACCCGAAGGUGAGGGACGGGGGAGGCGCGGCGGGAGGGCGCCCGCGGCGGUCUGCGCGGCUGGGCGACGGGCAGAGCGGACCCUCCCGCGGGCACCCGCCCCCGGGCCCGAGGGGCUCCCGGCCUAGAAGUCCUCGUCCUCCACCCAUCCAAAGACCCGCUUCAUCUCGGCCAGGAAGCCCCGGUAAUCGUUGAGGAGGGGGCUCUGCUUCCUGAUGUAGGGGAUCACCCACUGCAGGGCCGGCCCGGCCUAGAAGUCCUCGUCCUCCACCCAUCCAAAGACCCGCUUCAUCUCGGCCAGGAAGCCCCGGUAAUCGUUGAGGAGGGGGCUCUGCUUCCUGAUGUAGGGGAUCACCCACUGCAGGGCCGGCCCGGUGAGGCGGGUGAUGAGGAACGUCACCUUCAGGCUGUCGUUGGAGAACAGGGUCUCGUCCACGAGCAUGUAGGCGCCCGUCUGCACGAUAAACUCCGGGAGCCGGUCGGUGUCGCCGUCAAACGUCUCGGGGAAGGGGAUCGGGUUCCUCCACCGACGCGUCUGGGGCCGGAUGGGUAAGGCCAGGAGGGCCUUGAUCAGCUGCACCCGGCCGUCCAUCGCGCCUCGCUCGCCUGGCUGGGCUGCAGGGGCCUCUCGGCGAGGUGGGCGAGGAGGCGGGGCGGGAAGUGCGUGUGCGGGGAGGCGGGG